Molecule: long non-coding RNA, 800 nt
Filed under: Apteryx owenii (little spotted kiwi)
Lineage: Eukaryota; Metazoa; Chordata; Aves; Apterygiformes; Apterygidae
Description: lncRNA (ENSAOWG00000012935.1)
Source: RNAcentral
GUUUGCCAAGAGGCAAGAGUAGAGACCAGUGUGCAAGAGGAACGGUAUUUCUUGAGUGUGGAUAUGCACGGUUCUGAGGAGAUCCUUAUUGACAAUGGUGGUCAUUGGAGGUAUAAAUACUGAGGAAUAUGUCAUUUACAGAGAAGAUGUUUGAAAUCUGUUUCCUUUAGACAGCAAAGGUCCGUUUUCCGUUCUCACGCAGCCUUCCGGCAUGUCACUUACCUUCCCGAAUUAGUUCCGUUCUGGCUCCAGCCUUACACCCGUGUCGCUGAGGGCAAUGCCUGUGCAGCCGGACGCAGGAAGUGGCCUGUCUUCGUGCCCGUGCCCCGGGCAGCUGGUGCGCGUCCCCUCCAGCCCCGGGCUCCUCUGCGGCGCUGCCAGGUGCCCUGGAGAGCUGAGCGUGCCGGCUCUGCCGCCGGGCGCUGCUGGCACGCAGCCCUAGGGCGAAGAUCAGCCCUCUCUGCCAAACCGUGCGUCCUUGCCGUGAUGCGUGCCUACGUUAAAAAUUUGCAUUUCAAGAAACGUGCAUGUCAAAAACCUUUAGGCUGUCCACUAGAAGAGAGCAUGGAAUGUAGGGAUGUUUUUAGUGUUCGUAUAGCAUCUUAACGUGAACGCUGGAUUUUCUUAUCCAUAAAUGGAGAUGCAGCUUAUUGGUUUGUACUAUUUGUUCCAGCGUGUGAAAGAAACCAGAACUAUACGUUACAAGUUCUCAUAGUUUUUGUUUCUUUUUAGUCAUGCAGAAGGAUGCAAAAAUAUAUCAGAGAGAUACAGCAUUAAUAAAAUAGGAAACUGGUUAUGCA